GCAUAAAUCUGAGAAACGUGAGUUUGUCAUCAUUUUUUAUCUAGACAUAGGAUAGGUUGUGUGAAAAUAUUACUGAUGUUUAACGUUAAAAAUGGACCAAAAGAUUAAUGCUAAACAACAUUUGACAUGUUUGAACGAACAUAAAUAGAUUAUUUACUAGGUUUUUUUAGCUUUUCGGCGUGAUUUUACCAGCCCCCAACCACGUUUUGUGGGAGCAUAAUGAACGCUAAGUACUUGGUGUUAUUUGGACAUAAAUUAUGAACUUUGUCAAAAGAAACCACAUUUGUUCCGGACCUGGAAUGCCUUCCGGACCUGGGAUCCUGCCUUCUGAUGGAGAUAAUCAAAGACUGGGGCCCUCAGGGCGAAGUGAGAGUAUGGGUACUGAUGGACAGGCAGGAAGGAAGGAAGACCAGAGAUGGAUUCACAACCGUUGCCAUUGCUCUACUCCAAAUACAGCAUGCCAAAUGGAUCUACAAUUUUGCUAUUUUUAUGUGAUAUAGUUAACAUCCAACAUUUUAUUGAUAAUUACAUUGAUAACUAUUGAAAUAUACUACUUGGUUUUUGAUUGACGUAGAAUAGAAACACCUGAAAAAGCGACUUUUUUUUACCCAUUUUUCUCGUAACCAUACCAUGCAAUACUACCAAACCAAACCAUACUAAACUCAACAAAAAAAGAAACAUCCCUUUUUCAGGACCCAUUCUGUGACGUGCUCAGUUUUUUGGCGACAUGAAGCUUUCAUUAGACCAAUGAAAUUGCCGAACGGGUUAAGGUCAAAGAACUUUUUUGUUUACUGUUUAGAUUAAAUCGAGCGCUCUCAAACUUCCCAUCAUUCUGAUUACGGUAGUCAUUUUGUCACCCUCAUCAUGGCAAAGACACGGAGAAAUGCAUAUGAUGCAGCUUUCAAGUUGAAGGCGAUUGAUCUGGCUGUUGGAAAAGGAAAAGGAGCUGCUGCACGGGAGCUUGGUAUUAAUGAGUCGAUGAUAAGGCGUUGGAAACAGCAGCGUGAGGAAUUGACUCAGUGCAAAAAGACAACUAAAGCUUACUGCAAAUUUUUUAUUUUUUGUUACAAGCCGUGUUUCGUUAAAGCCUAUUUAUUUUUGUUACAAGCCGUGUUUCGUUAAAGCCUAUUUAUUUUUGUUACAAGCCGUGUUUCGUUAAAGCCUGUGUAAAGUACAUUUGUUUCAAUGUACCGGUAGGCACCUGCGGCUUAUAGACAUGUGCGGCUUAUCCUGUUAGGGCUAGGGGGCAGUAUUGACACGGCUGGAUAAAAAACAUACCCGAUUUAAUCUGGUUACCACUCCUACCCAGUAACUAGAAUAUGCAUAUACUUAUUACAUAUGGAUAGAAAACACCCUACAUUUUCUAAAACUGUUUGAAUGGUGUCUGUGAGUAUAACAGAACUCAAAUGGCAGGUCAAAACCUGAGAGAUUCCUUUACAGGAAGUGGCCUGUCUGACCAUUU
This 1462-nucleotide long non-coding RNA is filed under the name Salmo salar (Atlantic salmon). RNAcentral describes it as "lncRNA (ENSSSAG00000086367.1)". Lineage: Eukaryota; Metazoa; Chordata; Actinopteri; Salmoniformes; Salmonidae. The record is from RNAcentral.